CCUACGGGUGGCAGCAGUGGGGAAUAUUGGGCAAUGGGCGAGAGCCUGACCCAGCAACGCCGCGUGAAGGAAGAAGGCAUUGGGUGUGUAAAGAUCUGUUAGUGAGGACGAAACCUGACGGUACCCACCGAGGAAGCACCGGCUAACUCCGGGCCCGCAGCCUCGGUAAUACGGGGGGUGCAAGCGGUGUCCGGAAUCAUUGGGCGUAAAGAGUUCGUAGGGGGUACGUUAAAUCUGGUGGUAAAGGCGGAAGCUCAACUUCCGUAGGGCAGUUGAUACUGGCAAGCUUGAAUGCGGUAGAGGUAAGGGGAAGUCGUGGUGGAGCGGUGAAAUGCGUAGAUAGCAGGAAGAACAUCGGUGGCGUAGGCGCCUUACUGGGCCGUAAUUGACACUGAGGAACGAAAGCCGGGGUAGCAAAUGGGAUUAGAUACCCGUGUAGUC
RNAcentral lists this ribosomal RNA (441 nucleotides) under uncultured bacterium. RNAcentral's name for it is "partial 16S ribosomal RNA". It matches the Rfam family "Bacterial small subunit ribosomal RNA", at positions 338 to 795 of the family's 1533-position model. The record is from RNAcentral.